This 460-nucleotide ribosomal RNA is filed under the name uncultured bacterium. RNAcentral's name for it is "partial 16S ribosomal RNA". It matches the Rfam family "Bacterial small subunit ribosomal RNA", at positions 338 to 795 of the family's 1533-position model. The record is from RNAcentral.
CCUACGGGUGGCAGCAGUGAGGAAUAUUGGUCAAUGGACGCAAGUCUGAACCAGCCAUGCCGCGUGCAGGAAGACGGCUCUAUGAGUUGUAAACUGCUUUUGUACGAGGGUAAACGCAGAUACGCGUAUCUGUCUGAAAGUAUCGUACGAAUAAGGAUCGGCUAACUCCGUGCCAGCAGCCGCGGUAAUACGGAGGAUUCAAGCGUUAUCCGGAUUUAUUGGGUUUAAAGGGUGCGUAGGCGGUCUGUUAAGUUAGCGGGGAAAUCCCGAGGCUCAACGUCGGAAUUGCCUCUGAUACUGGUCGGCUAGAGAGUAGUUGCGGUAGGCGGAAUGUGUGGUGUAGCGGUGAAAGGCUUAGAGAUCAUACAGAACACCGAUUGCGAAGGCAGCUUACCAAGCUACUUCUGACGUUGAGGCACGAAAGCGUGGGGAGCAAACAGGAUUAGAUACCCGGGUAGUC